Molecule: ribosomal RNA, 448 nt
Filed under: uncultured bacterium
Lineage: Bacteria
Description: SSU rRNA
Rfam family: Bacterial small subunit ribosomal RNA
Source: RNAcentral
AGAACGAACGCUGGCGGCAUGCCUAACACAUGCAAGUCGAACGAGACCUUCGGGUCUAGUGGCGCACGGGUGCGUAACGCGUGGGAAUCUGCCCUUAGGUACGGAAUAACAGUGAGAAAUUACUGCUAAUACCGUAUGAUGUCUUCGGACCAAAGAUUUAUCGCCUAGGGAUGAGCCCGCGUUGGAUUAGCUAGUUGGUGGGGUAAAGGCCUACCAAGGCGACGAUCCAUAGCUGGUCUGAGAGGAUGAUCAGCCACACUGGGACUGAGACACGGCCCAGACUCCUACGGGAGGCAGCAGUGGGAAUUUUCCGCAAUGGGCGAAAGCCUGACGGAGCAAGACCGCGUGGGGGAAGAAGGCUCUUGGGUUGUAAACCCCUUUUCUCUGGGAAGAACGCAAUGACGGUACCAGAGGAAUCAGCAUCGGCUAACUCCGUGCCAGCAGCCGC